Molecule: ribosomal RNA, 484 nt
Filed under: uncultured bacterium
Lineage: Bacteria
Description: partial 16S ribosomal RNA
Rfam family: Bacterial small subunit ribosomal RNA
Source: RNAcentral
GACAAACGCUGGCGGCGUGCUUAACACAUGCAAGUCGAACGGUGAACCCGGAGCUUGCUCCGGUGGAUUAGUGGCGAACGGGUGAGUAACACGUGAGUAACCUGCCCUUGACUCUGGGAUAACUGCGGGAAACUGUAGCUAAUACCGGAUACGACCCUCGGCGGCAUCGCCAGGGGGUGGAAAGAAUUUCGGUCAAGGAUGGACUCGCGGCCUAUCAGCUAGUUGGUGAGGUAACGGCUCACCAAGGCGACGACGGGUAGCCGGCCUGAGAGGGUGACCGGCCACACUGGGACUGAGACACGGCCCAGACUCCUACGGGAGGCAGCAGUGGGGAAUAUUGCACAAUGGGCGCAAGCCUGAUGCAGCAACGCCGCGUGAGGGAUGACGGCCUUCGGGUUGUAAACCUCUUUUAGUAGGGAAGAAGCGAAAGUGACGGUACCUGCAGAAAAAGCACCGGCUAACUACGUGCCAGCAGCCGCGGUAA